UAACCUGAUUAUAUCUUUUGCAUAAGAAAGUAUUAGAGGAAAUUAGGUAACUAAGAAUGAUAUAAUUAACCUAACAAGGAUUAAGAGAUACCUAAAAAUUGAUACUACAUAUCUUUUAAGCACCAUAGUUGAUUGAAAAAACAAUAAAAGAACACUUUAACUGAUGUUUCAAAAGUUUAGAACGUGGCUUAGUAUUAUUUUU
RNAcentral lists this long non-coding RNA (202 nucleotides) under Brassica napus (rape). Its description in RNAcentral is "long non-coding RNA (BNAP_LNC003779)". The record is from RNAcentral. Lineage: Eukaryota; Viridiplantae; Streptophyta; Magnoliopsida; Brassicales; Brassicaceae.